RNAcentral lists this ribosomal RNA (253 nucleotides) under uncultured bacterium. RNAcentral's name for it is "partial 16S ribosomal RNA". It matches the Rfam family "Bacterial small subunit ribosomal RNA", at positions 524 to 776 of the family's 1533-position model. The record is from RNAcentral.
UACAGAGGGUGCAAGCGUUGUUCGGAAUUACUGGGCGUAAAGGGCUCGUAGGCGGCCUGCUAAGUCGAACGUGAAAUCCCCGGGCUCAACCCGGGAACUGCGUCCGAUACUGGCAGGCUUGAAUCCGGGAGAGGGAUGUGGAAUUCCAGGUGUAGCGGUGAAAUGCGUAGAUAUCUGGAGGAACACCGGUGGCGAAGGCGGCAUCCUGGACCGGUAUUGACGCUGAUGCGCGAAAGCCAGGGGAGCAAACGGG